UACGAAGGGUGCAAACGUUGCUCGGAAUCAUUGGGCGUAAAGCGCACGUAGGCGGCCUCCCAAGUCGGCUGUGAAAUCCCGUGGCUCAACCAUGGACGUGCAUUCGAAACUGCGAGGCUUGAGUAUGGAAGAGGGUCGCGGAAUUCCCGGUGUAGAGGUGAAAUUCGUAGAUAUCGGGAGGAACACCAGUGGCGAAGGCGGCGACCUGGGCCAAUACUGACGCUGAGGUGCGAAAGCGUGGGGAGCAAACAGG
Molecule: ribosomal RNA, 253 nt
Filed under: uncultured bacterium
Lineage: Bacteria
Description: partial 16S ribosomal RNA
Rfam family: Bacterial small subunit ribosomal RNA
Source: RNAcentral